RNAcentral lists this ribosomal RNA (497 nucleotides) under uncultured bacterium. RNAcentral describes it as "partial 16S ribosomal RNA". It matches the Rfam family "Bacterial small subunit ribosomal RNA", at positions 28 to 507 of the family's 1533-position model. The record is from RNAcentral.
GAUGAACGCUGGCGGCGUGCCUAAUACAUGCAAGUCGAGCGAACAGACGAGGAGCUUGCUCCUCUGACGUUAGCGGCGGACGGGUGAGUAACACGUGGAUAACCUACCUAUAAGACUGGGAUAACUUCGGGAAACCGGAGCUAAUACCGGAUAAUAUAUUGAACCGCAUGGUUCAAUAGUGAAAGACGGUUUUGCUGUCACUUAUAGAUGGAUCCGCGCCGCAUUAGCUAGUUGGUAAGGUAACGGCUUACCAAGGCAACGAUGCGUAGCCGACCUGAGAGGGUGAUCGGCCACACUGGAACUGAGACACGGUCCAGGCUCCGACGGGAGGCAGCAGUAGGGAAUCUUCCGAGAUGGGCGAAAGCUUGACGGAGCAACGCCGCGUGAAUGAUGAAGGUCUUCGGAUCGUAAAACUCUGUUAUUAGGGAAGAACGAAUGUGUAAGUAACUAUGCACGUCUUGACGGUACCUAAUCAGAAAGCCACGGCUAACUACGUG